AUAGUACUCCCUCCAUCCGGAAUUACUUGUCGCAGAAAUAGUUACAAAUGGAUGUAUCUAGAACUAAAUUAUGUCUAGAUACAUCCAUUUGUCCGACAAGUAUUUGCGGACGGAGGGAGUAUCAG
Molecule: non-coding RNA, 125 nt
Organism: Triticum aestivum (bread wheat)
Lineage: Eukaryota; Viridiplantae; Streptophyta; Magnoliopsida; Poales; Poaceae
Source: Rfam